UUUUUUACUUUAAGGUAACCACAGACAAACAAGAAAUGGUGAAGUGGUUCUACAGAUAGGACUGUAAAGUCUGAAUAAAUCUUAGAAAACCCUCAUUGUUUAUUUAAAUUUUCUCCAUAAAUUGUGACUUUCAGGGGAUGAAUCUAGUUUGAAUUUCACCCAACAUAUAACAUGUCCAUUAUUCACACCAGGGAACUCUUU
RNAcentral lists this long non-coding RNA (201 nucleotides) under Mytilus galloprovincialis (Mediterranean mussel). The record is from RNAcentral. Lineage: Eukaryota; Metazoa; Mollusca; Bivalvia; Mytilida; Mytilidae.